This 667-nucleotide ribosomal RNA is filed under the name Sphingomonadales bacterium. Its description in RNAcentral is "partial 23S ribosomal RNA". It matches the Rfam family "Bacterial large subunit ribosomal RNA", at positions 1 to 686 of the family's 2925-position model. The record is from RNAcentral. Lineage: Bacteria; Pseudomonadati; Pseudomonadota; Alphaproteobacteria; Sphingomonadales.
AGAUAAGUUACUAAGGGCACACAGGGGAUGCCUUGGCUUUGAGAGGCGAAGAAGGACGUGAUAAGCUGCGAUAAGGUACGGGGAGGAGCAAAUAUCUUUUGAUCCGUACAUUUCCGAAUGGGGAAACCCGGCUGGUUGAAGACCAGUCACCCUUAGGGGGGCGAACGCGCUGAACUGAAACAUCUAAGUAGGCGCAGGAAGAGAAAACAAUAGUGAUUUCCGUAGUAGUGGCGAGCGAACUGGAAAUAGCCCAAACCGUAAUUGUUUCGGCAAUUGCGGGGUUGUAGGACUACGAUAUGGACUUUAGAAUUAUAGUGGAACCGUAUGGAAAGGCGGUCCGUAGAGGGUGAGAGGCCCGUACACGAAAUAGUUUUAAUACCUAGUAGUAUCCUGAGUAGGGCGGGACAUGUGAAAUCCUGUCUGAAUCUGCCAGAACCAUCUGGUAAGGCUAAAUACUCCUCAAAGACCGAUAGCGAACGAGUACUGUGAAGGAAAGGUGAAAAGAACCCUGAACAAGGGAGUGAAAAAGACCCUGAAACUGUGUGUCUACAAGCGGUCGAAGCCAUUCGUGGCGACGGCGUGCCUUUUGCAUAAUGAUCCUACGAGUUACUCCUCAUUGGCAAGGUUAAGUGUUUAAGACACGGAGCCGAAGCGAAAGCGAGUCUGA